AGAAAAAUUCAAGACAGAGAAGCCCAGCAGACGGAAAGGCCUACAGCAUGCGGCUCAAAGGCAUGGCCCACAACCCUAUUGCAGCAUGUACGGCCCAGGUAGGGCCUAUUGUGCAUGGGCAUGUGGAUGUGUGAGGCCCAUGAUGCAUGUGGGUACACACUAUCCAGAGGGAUUUUUUGUGCAAUCUAUGACUAGAUCUUGAUGCGGUCGUGAUCGGAUGGCCAUGAAAGCUUGUAGGGGUUUCUGAGUCUUGUUG
RNAcentral lists this long non-coding RNA (256 nucleotides) under Elaeis guineensis (African oil palm). Its description in RNAcentral is "long non-coding RNA (EGUI_LNC023081)". The record is from RNAcentral. Lineage: Eukaryota; Viridiplantae; Streptophyta; Magnoliopsida; Arecales; Arecaceae.